This is a long non-coding RNA of Corythoichthys intestinalis (scribbled pipefish), 3564 nucleotides long. RefSeq lists it as uncharacterized. The transcript has 4 exons. NCBI's taxonomy places the organism in Eukaryota, Metazoa, Chordata, Actinopteri, Syngnathiformes, Syngnathidae. The record is from RefSeq and is a predicted model, not a curated record.
UGUCAGUGUUAUACAUUUUUGUGAAGAGCUGACAACACCGCUAGUGAUCUUGCCAGAUUUCUAGCCAAAAGUUAACUUGUAACUGGAGGCCUUACUAAAUUGGAUGACAAGCCGGAGAGUUACCUUAGUAGGAAAGCUGUUUUCCUGAGCACCAUCAACAGAAAAUGGACAAUGCUGGGCUCAAAGUAUAAAGAAGAUCACAAUGCCAAGCUAAGGCCAGGAAUGACCCAAGCUUCACCACAGCGAACAACCCAUCGUUCCACCCAAGAGUCAUCCAGCCAAAGAUUUCCAGAUUGCGAUAGUGUGACGAAUGUGACAGUGAAAGACAUCUCGCAGCUCUUCACCCAGGUCCAGCACCGCCUCCACCCAAGCAUGUUUUACCCCGCGAAGAGCGCAGCGGGCAGCAAGAAGCUUGGCAAAACGUUGAUGUGACAGCCACUUAUAUAGAGAACUUCAGACACUUUUACGAUUCUACGGACAACCUGAAUUUCUAUGAAGAGGAAAUUAGCAACUGGUGCAACUGGGAUACACAGACGUCCCGAAAAACAGACUGCAAGAGUUCAAGCAAGAUCUGAAAGAGUUGAUUUAAAAUGGCAGCUUACCCAGCGUGUCUACUACUUUUAGGGCAACGACACACUUCACACAUUGGUGCCCGACACCCGCAGUAGACGCCUCAUCAGAAGAAUUCUUGAGGAAGCUAGAAGGACAGUCGGUAGUCGGCUAUGAAUCCUACUACAGGCAAGAUUCCGAUUGCUCCAGUUUGCUGCAAAAUAAUCUGUCCGACCUGCACAUACAUGACUCCGAAAAUGACAAAGCCAGCAUCCUAAGUGCGAGAGUUCGAGCAAGAUCUGGAAGAGUUGAUUCAAAACGGCAGCUUGCCCAGCGCGUCUACUACUUCGGAUGACACCAAGGUGAAACUCAGACCACCCGUCUUCACCAAGGAAAAAGUUGGGCCGCGUGACAUCGGCACGUCUCCUGGGAGCUAUUUUCUACAGGACAAGGGCUGUAACACUCAAGUUCUAAGUCCAAGUGCCCAACAAUAUGGAGGGAUGCAGCAGCAACACAUGGGCAAUGAGACAACUCACACAUUGGUGCCCAACACCAGCGGCAGACGCUUUGUCACAAGAAAGGUUUUGAGGAAGAUUGAAGAACAAUCAGUAGUCUGCAAUGAAUCCUACUACAGGCAAUAUUCUGAUUGCUCCAGUUUGCUGCAAAAUAGUCUGUCCGAGCUGCACAUGCAUGACAACUCCAGUAUCUAAGUGCGAGAAUUCAAGCAAGAUCUGGAAGAGUUGAUUCAAAAUGUCGGCUUGCCCAGCGCGUCUACUACUUUGGAUGACACCAAGGUGAAACCCUGACCACCCGUCUUCACCAAGGAAAAAAUUUGCCGAUGUCACCUGGGAGCUAUUUUCAACAGAACAAGGGCCGUAACACUCAAGUUCUAAGUCCAAAUGCCCAAAUAUAUGGAAGCAUGCAGCAGCACCACAAGGGCAACGAGACACCUCACACAUUGGAGCUCGACACCCGCGGCAGAUGCUUCGUCAAGUCUUGAGGAAAAUUGAAGGACAGUCGGGAGUCUGCGAUGAAUCCUACUACAAGCAAGAUUCUGAUCAGUAACGGUUUAUUCAAAAUAGCGGCUUUCCCAGCGCGCCUACUGCUUCUGCUGACAACAAGGUGAAUCCCAGACCACCCGCCUUCACCAAGGAGAUAGUUUGCCCAAGUGACAUCGGCACGUCUCCUGGGAGCUUUUAGGGUAACGAGACACCUCACACGUUGGUGCCCGAUACCCGAGGCAGACACCACAUCUCAAGUCUUGAGGAAGAUAGAAGGACAGUUGGUAUUCUGAUUGCUCCAGUUUGCUGCAGAAUAGUCAGACAGAGCUGCACAUACAUGACUCAGAAAAUGCCAAAGCCAGCAUGCUAAGAGAUGCAAUGGUGGGAAUCUCCCUCAGCAGCUUUGGUCCCUCUAGCACCCGCUCUACACAAACAAGUUGCGAACGCGACUUAUGGACAAAACCCAAAUCUUUCAAUCGACUGGUCAUGAACCAGCGGACAAUCAAGAAAAUGGACCCGAUAACUAGGUAUUUCCAGUAGCAGCAUCACAAGGGCAACGAGACACCUCACACAUUGGUGCCCGACACCCGUGGCAGACGCUUCGUCACGAGAAAAGUCUUCAGGAAGAGUGAAGGACAGUCAAUAGUCUGCGAUGAAUCCUAAUACAAGCAAGAUUCUGAUCAGGAACAGUUGAUUCAAAGUAGCGCCUUUCCCAGCGCGCCUAGUGCUUCUUCGGACGCCAAGGUGAAUCCCAGACCACCUGCCUUCACCAAGGAGAUAGUUUGCCCAAAUGACAUCGGCACAUCUCCUGUGAGCUUUUUGGGCAAGGAGAAACCUCAUACAUUGGUGCCCGACACCUGCGGCAGAUGCUUCGUCGCGAGAAAAGUCUUGAGGAAGAUUGAAGGACAGUUGGUAGUCUGCGAUGAAUCAUCUACAGGCCAGUAUCUGAUUACUCCAGUUUGCUGCAGAAUAGCCUGUCCAAGCUACACAUAUGUGACUCCGAAAAUGACAAAGCCAGAAUGCUAAGUGACAAGAUGGUGGCAAUCUCCCUCAGCAGCUCUGGAUCCUCCAGCAGCCGCUCUACACGAGCAAGUAGUGAGAGCGACUUACAGACAAAACCCAAAUCCUUCAUUCAACCGGUCAUGAACCAGCAGAAAACCAAGAAAAUUGACCCAGUAACCAGGUAUUUCCAGUACAGGCAGCUUUGGAAUGAGUUUAAACUGCCAGGAGAGCGAGACAACCAGGAACUCCGCUGGGAAAUCAGGGAGUGACUCGCAUAACAGCCGACCGUAACAUACAAGUUCUAAGUCCAAGUGCCCAAAAAGAUGGAUGCAUUCAGCAGCACCACAAGUGCAACGAGACACCUCACACAUUGGUGCCCGACACCCGCGGCAGACGCUUCGUCACGAGAAAAGUCUUGUGGAAUAUUAAAGGACAGUCAGUAGUCUGUGAUGAAUCCUACUCCAAGCAAUAUUCUGAUCAGGAACAGUUGAUUCAAAAUAGCGGCUUUUCCAGCGCACAAGUAUCUGAUUACUCCAGUUUUAAUAGCCUGUCAGAGCUGCACAUACAUGACUCCAAAAAUGACAAAGCCAGAAUGCUAAGUGACAUGAUGGCGGGAAUCUCCCUCAUCAGCUUUGGAUCCUCCAGCAGCCACUCUACACGAAAAUGUAGGGAGAGCGACUUACGGACGAAACACAAAUCCUUCAUCAUUAACGAGCAGACAAUCAAGAAAAUGGACCCAGUUAUCAGGUAUUUCAAGUACAAGCAGCUAUGGGAUGAGUUUAAACUGCCAGGAGAGCGAGGCCACCGGGAAUUCCGCUGACAAAACAAAACCUCUGAGAGGAAAUAUAAGUGAAUUUAAAUGUUGAUAAGAUUGUAUGGAAUCUAUGCCAGUAGUUAUUGCGACAGUUUUGUAAAUAUUUUUUAUGUUAUUUAUGAUGAUUCUGCAAUGUCUGUUUUAGCGAUAUUUGUUUGUUUUUCGCUAACUGUGGCGUGUAAAAAAUGUGGUAUUUCA